RNAcentral lists this ribosomal RNA (468 nucleotides) under Papilio machaon (common yellow swallowtail). RNAcentral describes it as "partial large subunit ribosomal RNA". Lineage: Eukaryota; Metazoa; Arthropoda; Insecta; Lepidoptera; Papilionidae. The record is from RNAcentral.
UUUUUGUAAAUAAUUUAAAGUCUUAUCUGCCCACUGAUAAAUAUAUUAAAGGGCUGCAGUAUUUUGACUGUACAAAGGUAGCAUAAUCAUUAGUCUCUUAAUUGGUGACUUGUAUGAAAGAUUGGAUGAAAUAUAAACUGUCUCUAAUUAAUUUAUAAAAUUUAAUUUUUUAGUAAAAAAGCUAAAAUAAUUUUAAAAGACGAGAAGACCCUAUAGAGUUUUAUAAUUUAUUUGAUUAUUAUUAAUAUGUAAAUUUUAAAAUUAAAAUUAAAUAAAUUAUUUUGUUGGGGUGACAGAAAAAUUAAAUUAACUUUUUUAAAUAAUUAACAUUAAUUUAUGAAUAAAUGAUCCAUUAAUAUUGAUUAAAAGAAAAAAUUACCUUAGGGAUAACAGCGUAAUUUUUUUUUUUAGUUCAAAUAGGAAAAAAAGUUUGCGACCUCGAUGUUGGAUUAAGAUAAAAUUUAAAUG